This 497-nucleotide ribosomal RNA is filed under the name uncultured bacterium. Its description in RNAcentral is "partial 16S ribosomal RNA". It matches the Rfam family "Bacterial small subunit ribosomal RNA", at positions 28 to 507 of the family's 1533-position model. The record is from RNAcentral.
GAUGAACGCUGGCGGCGUGCCUAAUACAUGCAAGUCGAGCGAACAGACGAGGAGCUUGCUCCUCUGACGUUAGCGGCGGACGGGUGAGUAACACGUGGAUAACCUACCUAUAAGACUGGGAUCACUUCGGGAAACCGGAGCUAAUACCGGAUAAUAUAUUGAACCGCAUGGUUCAAUAGUGAAGGACGGUUUUGCUGUCACUUAUAGCUGGAUCCGCGCCGCAUUAGCUAGUUGGUAAGGUAACGGCUUACCAAGGCGACGAUGCGUAGCCGACCUGAGAGGGGGAUCGGCCACACUGGAACUGAGACACGGUCCAGACUCCUAAGGGAGGCAGCAGUAGGGAAUCGUCCGCAAUGGGCGAAAGCCUGACGGAGCAGCGCCGCGUGAGUGAUGAAGGUCUUCGGAUCGUAAAACUCUGUUAUGAGGGAAGAACAAAUGUGUAAGGAACUAUGCACGGCUUGACGGUACCUAAUCAGAAAGCCACGGCUAACUACGUG